GACGAACGCUGGCGGCGUGCCUAAUACAUGCAAGUAGAACGCACAGUUUAUACCGUAGCUUGCUCCACCAUAAACUGUGAGUUGCGAACGGGUGAGUAACGCGUAGGUAACCUGCCUGGUAGCGGGGGAUAACUAUUGGAAACGAUAGCUAAUACCGCAUAAUAUUAAUUAUUGCAUGAUAAUUGAUUGAAAGAUGCAAUUGCAUCACUACCAGAUGGACCUGCGUUGUAUUAGCUAGUAGGUGAGGUAACGGCUCACCUAGGCGACGAUACAUAGCCGACCUGAGAGGGUGAUCGGCCACACUGGGACUGAGACACGGCCCAGACUCCUACGGGAGGCAGCAGUAGGGAAUCUUCGGCAAUGGACGAAAGUCUGACCGAGCAACGCCGCGGGAGUGAAGAAGGGUUUCGGAUCGUAAAGCUCUGUUGUAAGAGAAGAACGGGCGUGAGAGUGGAAAGUUCACACUGUGACGGUAUCUUACCAGAAAGGGACGGCUAACUACGUG
RNAcentral lists this ribosomal RNA (505 nucleotides) under uncultured bacterium. Its description in RNAcentral is "partial 16S ribosomal RNA". It matches the Rfam family "Bacterial small subunit ribosomal RNA", at positions 28 to 507 of the family's 1533-position model. The record is from RNAcentral.